This 1657-nucleotide long non-coding RNA is filed under the name Canis lupus familiaris (dog). RNAcentral's name for it is "lncRNA (ENSCAFG00845002398.1)". Lineage: Eukaryota; Metazoa; Chordata; Mammalia; Carnivora; Canidae. The record is from RNAcentral.
GGGGGUACUUUUUCCAUUAUCAAAAUAACCAGCAAACAGACCAAAUAAAUAAAUAGAAGUGGCCAUGCAUGAAGGAUGAUGAUCAACUUGAUUCUCUGCAUGUAAGGAGCAAUUUAGAAAGAAAUCAAAGCUAGAUACAUAGGGAAAAUUCACCUGCACGUAAUCCCACCACCCACAGGGUAACGAUUAUCAUUAACUUUCUCUUUUCUAGGUUUUUAAAAUACAUACAUAUAUAUAUAUAUAUCUUAAAUCAUAUUAUAUCUAUGAUCUUCUCUUUUUUAUUCUCAUUUUAAUGUGUAUACUAGAAGGCAAAACAAAGUUCCAAACACUGAAAGCAAAAAAUGCACAAAAAGGCUCUGACAGGCAUUACACAAUGAUCCAGAUUUUGUAAAACUUGGUGUUGAACAUGGGGAUUGCAUGAUCAUUUUUCUAGAAAUUGAGUCUCCUGGUUUUUGUUUUUAAGUAAUAGACUUUGUUUUUUUUAAGGAGCCUAUUUUAUUUGUUUAUUUUUAAAGAUUUUAUUUUUAAGUAAUCUCUACACCCAACAUGGGGCUCAAAUUCACAACUGCAAGAUCAAGAGUCGCAUACUCCACCAAGUGAGCCAGCCAGGCGCCCCACUUUAUUUAUUUAUUUAUUUAUUUAUUUAUUUAUUUAUUUUUGAGCAGAUUUAGGUUCACAGCAAAAUUGAGCAGAAAGUACAAACGUCCUCCUCUUUUUACUUAACAACAGGGCACACAAAUAUUUUCAUUUCAUUAAAAGCUUCUCAGAAACAAACUUUUUACUGUCAACAAAAUGUUUCCUUAUAUGGAUGUCAUAUGGUUUACUUAGCCUUACCGCCACUGGACAUUAGGGUUGUUUCCAGUUUUUUGGUGGUAUAAGUAGAGUGGUAAUGAACAUUUUUGUGUAUAAAUUCCACCCACACACAUAUUUAGCAUUAUUUCUUUGGGACAGAUUAUUAGAAUCAUUGAAAGAACCAAUAUGAACGUUUUAAGGCAUAUUUUAUCAAACUACCAACUUUCUUUUCAGAAAUUUUGUGCAAAUGUACACCUUUACCAGAAGAAUUUGAGAGGAUCUACUCACUACACUCUUAGCAGCUGUGGCGUCUCAAGACUCUUUCUCGGCCGUGGGCUCCGGACCUCACCAACAUUCCAAAACAGCAUCACAACUGGUUCUCAGAUCAAACAGCCCUUCAGGGAAGCCUUCCUGACACCCCCACCCGAUCGUCCCGGAAUCUAUUACGCACUUUUGUGGUACCCUGUGCCUCCCCUCCAGGCUCUUGCCUCGGUGGUUAAUAAGUACUCGUGUACUCACUUAAUGGGUGUCUGUGACUCCCCCAGACAGCGUCCCCCAAUGGGGGCCAGGGUCCCGCCGCCGAUGGCUGCUGUAACCCAACGCUGAGCAGCCGCUCCACUACACCAAGCAGGACAAGACGCUCCCAGAGCCCUGUCCGCUGGUGGCCCAGCUCCUCACUCUCAGCCUCAUCUACAACCCGUUAGUCAGGAGACCAAACGGUCUUUGUUUAGUUGAACAUAUACUGUACGUUAACUAACUGGAAAUUGAAUAAAAACAUUAAAACCCUCUUUGUCUGUAAUCAGAUCACAACUUCCCCCCUCCCCAAGGGUGACCUGAUGUGGCAAGGGUGACCUUUGCAGAUCCC